CCUACGGGUGGCAGCAGUGGGGAAUAUUGGGCAAUGGGCGCAAGCCUGACCCAGCAACGCCGCGUGAAGGAAGAAGGCUUCCGGGUUGUAAACUUCUUUUCUCAGGGACGAAGCAAGUGACGGUACCUGAGGAAUAAGCCACGGCUAACUACGUGCCAGCAGCCGCGGUAAUACGUAGGUGGCAAGCGUUAUACGGAUUUACUGGGUGUAAAGGUCGUAUUGGUGGGACAGCAAGUCAGAUGUGAAAACAACGGGGUAAACCUGUUGCCUGCAUUUGAAACUGGAGUUCUUGAGUACUGGAGAGGCAGAAGGAAAACCUAGUGUAGAGGUGAAAAGAGUAGAAAUUAGGAAGAAAAACAGUGGCGAAGGCAGGUUUAUGGACAGCAACUGACGCUGAGGCGCGAAAGCGUGGGGAGCAAACAGGAUUAGAUACCCGAGUAGUC
Molecule: ribosomal RNA, 443 nt
Filed under: uncultured bacterium
Lineage: Bacteria
Description: partial 16S ribosomal RNA
Rfam family: Bacterial small subunit ribosomal RNA
Source: RNAcentral